This is a long non-coding RNA of Etheostoma spectabile (orangethroat darter), 133 nucleotides long. RefSeq lists it as uncharacterized. Lineage: Eukaryota; Metazoa; Chordata; Actinopteri; Perciformes; Percidae. The transcript has 3 exons. The record is from RefSeq and is a predicted model, not a curated record.
GAAAACAUGCAGCUCAAUCUCAGUACUUAAAGGAAUAUGCCACAGUUUGUUGAAACAGGGUUCAUCACGGUCUCCCCUAGCUGUAAAUAGGUGGGCCAACGCAUUUUGUUUCUCAGUGCAUGAAUUGUUUUAG